Molecule: ribosomal RNA, 229 nt
Filed under: uncultured bacterium
Lineage: Bacteria
Description: partial 16S ribosomal RNA
Rfam family: Bacterial small subunit ribosomal RNA
Source: RNAcentral
UACGUAGGCGGAAAAUUAAGUCAGUAGUGAAAUCCUGCAGCUUAACUGUAGAACUGUUAUUGAUACUGGUUUUCUUGAAUUUAGUUGAGGUAGGCGGAAUGUGUAAUGUAGCGGUGAAAUGCUUAGAUAUUACACAGAACACCGAUUGCGAAGGCAGCUUACUAUACUGUGAUUGACGCUGAGGCACGAAAGCGUGGGGAGCGAACAGGAUUAGAUACCCUGGUAGUCC